AUUGAACGCUGGCGGCGUGCCUAACACAUGCAAGUCGAGCGGUAACAGGUGUAGCAAUACAUGCUGACGAGCGGCGGACGGGUGAGUAACGCUUGGGAAUCUGCCUAUUAGUGGGGGGACAACCCGGGGGAAACUCGGGCUAAUACCGCAUACGCUCUACGGAGGAAAGCCGGGGACCGCAAGGCCUGGCGCUAAUAGAUGAGCCCAAGUCGGAUUAGCUAG
Molecule: ribosomal RNA, 222 nt
Filed under: uncultured bacterium
Lineage: Bacteria
Description: partial 16S ribosomal RNA
Rfam family: Bacterial small subunit ribosomal RNA
Source: RNAcentral